RNAcentral lists this ribosomal RNA (250 nucleotides) under uncultured bacterium. RNAcentral's name for it is "partial 16S ribosomal RNA". It matches the Rfam family "Bacterial small subunit ribosomal RNA", at positions 28 to 278 of the family's 1533-position model. The record is from RNAcentral.
GACGAACGCUGGCGGCGUGCUUAACACAUGCAAGUCGAACGAUGAAGGGGAGCUUGCUCCCCGGAUUAGUGGCGAACGGGUGAGUAACACGUGGGCAACCUGCCCCUAACUCUGGGAUAACUCCUCGAAAGAGGUGCUAAUACCGGAUACGAGACUGGGAGACAUCUCCACGGUCUGGAAAGUUUUUCGGUUAGGGAUGGGCCCGCGGCCUAUCAGCUUGUUGGUGAGGUAACGGCUCACCAAGGCGACG